GAAAACAAAGUGUUGGGCAAUUUUACAGUUACUGAAUAAAAAAGAUUGAAAUUUCACAAGUUGACAGGGUCUCAGCCAAUGUACAGCUACGGUAGUUUAUAGCUGCAAAAACAUUAUUAAACAGAUAACAUAAGAAAAAAGAUGUACAGCAUCUGAGAGAACAAUAUGAGCUCAGCUCAGGUCCGCUUGACAGGGUCGAAGUUGGACACGCCAAUCACAGCUCCAACAAUGGCGACCAGAACCACACCCCCAGCUACUAUGCUGAGCAAGAAGUUCUUGAGAGAUGGGGUGACUCCAUCAGCCGCUUGAGCCACCUCUGGAAUCAUCAUCGAUGUCGUCAGCGCUGUUGCUGUCAACCCCGUCACCGCCUUUUCCUUGAACGAAGAAGCACCAGCCUUGACUUGGAGCUUUCCGUUGGGUCUUUUAACACCGCCCGUUGCCCUCCAUGGCUUUACCGGAAGUGGCUUAAAGAAUGCCUCAGAGCUUGGCAUCCUGUUUUGGGUAGCUCCAGCUAAGGGCAGAGCCAUUGAAGCAGCUGAAGUGGAAGCCAUUGGUUCUUUUUUUCUUUUUUACUUGCUCUCUUCAGUCUUCACACCGUAAGUCUAAAUCCCCCAAAAAAAUCGUCCUCCUUUUGUUUUUGCUGCAAAUGUGUUUUUUUUAGAGGAGGGAUAAGGGAACAAGAAAUGAGAGGUGGGAAAUUGAGAUUUUCUGGUGCCACGUGGCAUUCACAAAUCUAUCUGUCUUACGUGGCAGCUUCUCAAGUUAGAAUUGGUGGAUAAGGCUAUCUUCCAUUGAGGUUGAAAUUUGGGUGGGAUAACUUUUAUUGAUUGGCUAAUGGCCAUUGAGUGGCACCCUAAAUGGCCGAAACACUGAUUUCUUCUGGACUUGUGUGGUUCUUAAGCUAUUUGGGUUCAUUUUGGACCCAAUAGCAACUUUAUCAAAUACUAUUUUUAUUAGGCUAAUGUUAGACUUAAAACAUUAAUAUGAGAAAACUGACAUGUUAGGCUAAUAUCUACAUGUUGAUCUUUUUCGGAAAUAAUCUGGGUUCGAAUCAUCGUUGUACUAAAGAAAAUUAGAAGACGAAAUGAUAUUAGUAUAAGGUUUGUGGAUAAGUUUAAAUUAGGUUUCUCCUCUAUUUAAUAAAGUUAACAUUUAUUAUUUAACAAAGUAAAUAUCUUUAAAGCAUUUAUGAUUUUGCAAAUAAAAUGUUUUUUUGGAGCUAAACUGCAAAUAGAAAAAUGAUUUUCAUGUAAUUCUUUAAACAAUAAAUGUUAACUUUGUUUAAAUCUAACUUUUUUUAUCAAAACAUUAUUUAAAUUUCUUCGAUUAAUAGUAGAAUGACCAAUUUGAAUUGAUCCCUAUAGUAAAAGGGUUUACUUGUUAUUUUCACCAAAUCUAAUAAAAUCCUACUAUUCAUUUUCUUAAAAUAUUAUAUUAACAUUUGCACUUUACCAAUUUAUGUACCAUGCAGUAAUCAUGAAGUGUGAUAUGGUAGUUGCUCACCUCAUCCUUUAAUCAUAUGGUUGGGGUUCAAUCCUUGUUCAUAGUAAUAGAGCAUAUUUUAUGACUAGCCAUUUAUCUUUUUAGAGAGUACAUACAACGAGGAGAUUAAUCACUUCUAUCAACGGUGAAUACCCUAAUUACAACCUAAAAAAAAGUACCAUGGAUAUCCAAUUUCGACAAUAGAUUUAAUAGGGAUUUUUUUUAUUCCGUGAACUUUUAGUUCUCCAAAUUGCUUUUGAUUCAAUAAUGAAAGAAAUGUGUUGUCCAUAUGAAAUGUGUUGGUUUGGUUACCUUGCAGAAUAUGUGGGUACUAAUGGACAUGUACAAAUACAGUUGGUUAUGAUAAAUAAGAUUUUGAUAGUUUCGAUUUAAGGUUUAAGUUUUUGGUCAUAGAUUUGAAUAUAUAGUUUUGGCAUGUUUAGCUCGGUGUGUUCCAUAAGUAUCUAAUAAAAUUUUUCAAUACGCGCGAAAGACAAAACACAAUAAGUCAAUUGAAGAAUGAUGAAUAAAUGAUAACUCUCAUAUUUAGAGUUACUUUAAUAUAGUUUUCAUAGUAUUUUAGGAGGUAAUUUUAGCAUUCAUGUUAGUUUACAUUAUAUUUUAUUUUAAUUUUGUUCAAUUUUGAUCAUUUUCAAAGUUGGUUCGAGUUUACUUGCUAUUUUUUUUUCUCAAUUAUAGGCAACGAAUGAAGAAGUUAAGACUUGAAGCAUAGAGAAAAAAGUGGUAAAAGAAGCCUUCUGCUCUACCAGAUUUAAUUCAGUGUGGUGGAAUAAGCUCUUCAAUUUAGAAAUUUUGACAAUAAGUAGUUCGUUCCAUUGCAACUUCUGCGUACAAUGGAGUGAUGCGAGUAUGAACCCUAAAAACAGGGAUAGCAAAAUUUAAAAAGAACAAAAGAAGAGGAAAAGAGGAAUAAAUCACUUGGGAGCUAAAGAAAUGCUCUCUCGCACCAAGGAAAAUUUCAAACUUGCAUUGAUAAGAAAAAAAAAAUUCCGAAGAGCUCACCAUAAAUUAUUUAACCAUUUUCUCUCUUAAUUAUUUUCUUUUUACUUUUUAUGAGGAUAAUAAUAUAAAUUGUUGAGGGCCAAACUGAAAUUUUUUAUUCAAAAAAAUUAAUUUGUAAUACUAAAUAGUAAGUGAACUUAAACUGCAAUAUGCCCAUUUUAUCCAAGAGGGCCCAAGGCCCUUACUUAUCCCCACUGUUUUUUUGUUGAUGUAAGUUUGUCGUGGAUAUCUUUUUGUUAUUUUCUCAACUCAAUAUGAAUUAAAUUCUAUCUUUUUAAUAAUGAAGGAUCCUAUUUCUUAGUUAACUAAUUUAUUUUCUCUUCAAUGUUUCGAUCCUUGAAUUAUUUAUUCAACCUUGUGCUUAUUUAUUUUGCUUACCCAAUCAACAAGUUGUAUUAAUUUUGAUAACCUUGAUUUAUUUUUAAAAAAAAGAGUUAGAGUUGAGAUCUAAACUGAAUAGAUUAGGAUUAACUUAAGUAAUACUGAUAAACAAGUUAAUUUGCAAUUUGGGUAGGAAUAUACCUAAUGCCCUAAUCAACUCAAUAAGUUUAUUCUUAGUGACUUCACCCAAUUUGCCUAAUAUAAGAACAUAGCUAGUGGGGAAGGGUGUUUAACUUAGCUAGAUACUAGAAGAGUUUAGUUACUGCCAUUGAAUCCUAGAUUAAUAAUUACACAGUUUGAACAAUUGAAUAAGGGAUAAUUGAUUAACCUGAUUAGGUGAAGUUAAAGUUCCAAGUCUAUAAAAUUGGUUGACAAACUUCGAAAGUUUUCAUUGCUUUAGUUUAGUAAAGUUUUUAUAGUUUGAUUAGUUUAAUUUUAGUAGAAUCGAUAAUUUAUUUUUAUUUAUAUGCAUUAGAUAAAACCAAUUUGUUAGUACUCAACAACUUAAAAUUUGACCCUAGUGAGAAUGAUAUCUUUUUUAUCACUUUAUUAUUUGAUUAACACGUUCACUUAUGUUACAAAUUUCGAUCAUCAAUAAACUACAUGAUUAUAUCAAAAUUAUGCAUUGUUAUUGUUAUGUAUCAAAAAACAUACACUUGAAAUUUGACCAGUGAUGCUUAUUUUAAUUGUUAUAUUGCAACAUUUAAUAAGCCGCAAUUAAUCUAAAAUAAUAUAUGUUAUUAAUAAAUAAUUAAUAUAUUUAAUUAUAUAGUUUAAAACGAAUAAAAAAAUUACUAUACAGAAAUAUGAUUAAUAUAAUUUUAUUUGUUAUUAAUAAUUAAAUAAUAUUACUUAUUAUUAAUCUGUUGGAUCCAAUUUCAACUCAAUUAUAUGGUUUAAACGAAUAAAUAUUCUAUUUAAAAAAAUAUUUUUAAUUUUUAAUAUAAUAUAAUGAAAAAUAAAAUAUAAUCAUUUAUAAAGAUACCAAAAUUUUAUAUUCGUUCGAAUGAGUAUUAGAAAAUCGAAUAGCCCUCCAACUCUAUAAAAAAAAUAAUUUGAAUUUUUCAUUUAAUUUUUCAUCUCCUUUGUUUCUUAAAUUUAUAAUGUUUGUUUAGUCGUUCCAAAAUGGAUUAAAAAGUUAACGCUAAGUAGAUACCACGUCAAUAAUUAAUUAAUUUUUAAAAUUUGAAAAAUUCAAAAAAAAAAUUAAAACUAUUUUAAAAAUUAUUAAAAGAUACAAAUUUAAAAGUGUAUUUUUUAAUAUUUGUUUAUUUUAAAAAUUAUUUAAUUACUAAAUGAAAUACAUAAGGAAAAAAUCUAAAUGCUAAAAACCGAAAAUUAAAAUAAUUUUUUAUAUAAAAUUGAAAAGUAAAAUAGAUUAUUAUGUCUUAGUCACGAUGGAUUUACUCUUCAAUUUUUUUUUUCCUUUUCUGAAUUACAUGUGUAGGAUCCAAUGCAUGUUCAUGAUAUCUAAACAUAAAUACGAAGAUACGAUCGCAGGUUAUACUCUCAAAUUGUUCGAAUCAUAUAUUAAACUCGAAUUCAGCUCCAUCCAUUGUUGAAAUGAAAUUAAAUUCGUGUUUUAAAAUCCAACUUGAGUAAGAUUUAAUUAAGUUUCUCAUUUACCCCACCCCCCCCCCCCCUCCAACCCCCCAAGGGUCCAAAUUAGCGUAAAUUGGAAAGAAAUUUCAGAAGCUGAAAGGAUCUCAACCAAAAUACAGCUACGGCAGUUUAUAACUGGAAAACAUUCUUAAACAGAUAACAUUAAAAGAAAAAUGUACAGCAUGAGAGAGAAUUAUAUGAACUCAGAUCAGGUCCGCUUGACAGGGUCGAAGUUGGACACACCAAUUACAGCUCCAACAAGGGCGACCAGAACCACACCACCAGCCGCUAUGCUGAGCAAGAAGUUCUUGAGAGAUGGGGUGACUCCAUCAGCUGCUUGAGCCACCUCUGGGAUCAUCAUCGAUGUCGUCAGCGCCGCUGCUGUCAACCCUGUCACCACCUUUUCCUUGAACGAAGAAGAAGCAGCCUUGACUUGGAGCCGUCCGUUGGGUCUUUUAACAGCGCCC
This 4955-nucleotide long non-coding RNA is filed under the name Gossypium barbadense (sea-island cotton). RNAcentral's name for it is "long non-coding RNA (GBAR_LNC012997)". The record is from RNAcentral. Lineage: Eukaryota; Viridiplantae; Streptophyta; Magnoliopsida; Malvales; Malvaceae.